Non-coding RNA from Vigna umbellata (rice bean), 1448 nucleotides. Lineage: Eukaryota; Viridiplantae; Streptophyta; Magnoliopsida; Fabales; Fabaceae. The record is from RefSeq and is a predicted model, not a curated record.
UCUCUUGUCCAGAUUCUUCUUCUCUAGUCCAGAUUCUUUUUGGUUCUCCCUCCUUCUUCUCCUUCCUUCUUCUCCCUCCUUCUUCUCCCUCCUUCUUUCUGUGGUGGGUGAAACCUUGUUGUGGUGUGUCGUCGUCACGUGGUCUGCCGUGGGUGAAUAUAUUUUUAUAAAUUAGGUUUAUACUGAUAAUUAGGACUGUGUUGUGCUGUAAGUAAUUAAGAUUAGGGAUGUAUAAAGAACGAGGAGGUGUUGCCGUCACUGUUUCUGCUUCCAAGUAGGAGGAUCGGAAGCGAAUCAACGACGUUCUCGACAAGCACCUCGAACGAUUCUCGCCCUCCACUUCUUGCCCAAUCAACGCCACCUCCAAAAAUUCCAACCUCUAAGCGGAGGAAUCUGAAACGGAGAGUGAAGAGUCUGAUGUUAGCGGUUCGGAUGGAGCUGACACCUCUUGGAUCUCUUGGUUCUGCAAUCUUAGGGGAAACGAGUUCUUUUGCGAGGUCGAUGAUUAAGAUAUUGGGUGACAUACGUGGUGUGGCUAUUGAUGGUGUCGAGGGAGAGAAAGUUAACCUCACUUAACCUGUUGCUGAGGCAAUAGGAGCUGCUUUUGCUGCAUGGUUAAUGGAGAAGAAAAAAGCUGACUCUUCCCAGCAUUUGAGAGUUUCUAUUGGCCAUGAUACUCGAAUAUCAGCCAAAUUAUUACAGAAUGCAAUUUCUCGAGGUCUCGCUGGUGCUGGCCUAGAAUUUGUCCACUACGGAAAGUUUUGGUUUGAAGCGUGUGAUUGAUGCGUGAUUGAUGUUUCUCCAUAUUUAUUGACAAAGCGUGUGAUGUCCUUGGAUAUAGCCCUGUUAAUGGCUGGAGCAAAAGAAAGAGGAGAGCUAGAGGAACAUGUUACAAAGUUGAUAAAAGACGUAAUAAAGUCAAGUGAAUACUGUAAUAUAAAAGAAUGUAUAAGAGUUUGAUGAACACGUGCUUGACGUGCUAGAAGAGGAUUGUUUUAGCUCUCACUGAUUAUUCUCGAAAUGCAUGUGAUUCAUUCUCUUCAUUGAUGACGUUCAUAUACUUGUUCGGGCAGGAACAGUUGGGAGAGGAAAUAAAGGAUAUGGCCUUGACAUAGCAAAUUUACUCAAACCUGCACUUGGAAGGGGUCGAUUUCAGGUGAUUAUUAGUUAAUUCUAUUCUAAAUUACUCCUGAAGAUAAACACGUUUUCUGUUUGAGGGCUGGUGUAGUGUAAACAAUUAACAAUACGGUAUAAGAUUAAGGUUGGAGAUCAAAGUAUAUGGUUAGUACUUACUACACAUUUACAGGUGUCUGAUACCACCCUUUCAAAGUAUUUUUAUUGAAUAAGCUUAUCAAUUUACAUUUGGAAACUGCAAUUCAAGGUUGAGAUUAUUAAGAAAGACGUCUUGAUGAAAAUUUGGGAGGUUAUCAUUCAGUAAAUUGUGGAGU